AAUCAUCAUGAAACAAAAAAAUGUACUUGACUAUCGCUAGACGCUAUGGCGUCUCCUGAUUUGUGUUAUUUUUUUAUUUCUAACGAAUACGAUAAUACUAAUACUAAGAGUCCUGUGUUAUAUAACAAUGUCUUAAACUAAAUGGAGGACGAAACUAAAAAAAUCGCGGUCCAAAAUAGUGGAAAAACCAUUUUGAAAAAUUAGUGUGCUGUUUUCUUGGAAUAGAUUCGGAUUUGGAAAGAAAUACGAUAAUAAUUAUCCUGACACGCCUCCCUCCAGUCAAAUAUGUGAUGGGAUUCCUCCUCCGUUGAACGAAAACCCCGAACGAGAUUCCUGACACUUAUCUAUAGAGGCUAUAAAUCUUUUCCCAGAAGGUUAACGCUUCCAUUUGGACAUCAAAAUGAUGAAAACGCAAUCGGUUUCGAUUGUUAUAACUUUUAAUGUCGCGACAACGCGGCAUCGUCGCCUCCGCUUCACUUUCACUUGAUUCUCGCGCGUCGCACGCUUCUGCAAGGUGCCGCGCAGUUUUCACGGCGAGAAGUGGCCGACGACGGGGGGUUGUGUACGUCUCGCGGUUCGGACCGACCUGAACGAGCUGACGGACAAACGCACAAUAAGAACGAGGAAUACCCCCGCAGAGCCAGACAUGAAGACGUCACUCAAAAACGGUAACGUGGUCAGGAGUGCCCGGACACGGGGUCAGGCCCAAGCUGACCGUUCUAGGCUGCUCGGUUCAGCUACGUUCUCUUAUGAGUGAGUCAGCGUCUCGGCAGCACUUUCUUCAAGAAAUUCAACUUAAUUCGGCAAUUAAACAUAAUAUCACAUGGAAUAAGUCAGUAACUAAUUUUGAGACCAUCCGUUUAUUAUAGAGGCCGGUUAUAAAUUAACAAUACAAUUAUCAGUAUGUACAUGCCAGUGAAUGCUGAUUAGAAGUACAAAAUUAUUGUUAAAAAGUUAUUGCAAUGUAAAAGAAAAACGAGUCGAAUUUUCUUUACCGGUCAGCUCCUUCACUUGAUAAAAUUCAGGGGAUAUAUUUCCGAUUAAACUUAUUUCGAGAAGCAAACACCUGAUCUUUCGAAAGGCGUGGAAAUAGUAGCGAAUUGAGAGGACGAGCCGUCGCUGCAGGCAAGGCGAAACGAGGAUUAUUUUUUGUUUUGACGACUGACAUGCGGCGCAGUUACAAUCUCUAUUUACAAGCUGAGGAAUUUAUUUGGAAUUUUUCGGUGUGAACGACCUUUCAAAAUUCGGGUUUUUCACAUUUCAUGCAUGGUGGAUCUUUUUCUCUUUCUCUCUUCGUCACUAAAAAGACUCUCCGAAAUGCGUCGCUUAUAGAUUCAGGUAAGCUAUUUAGAAGAAACUGUCAAAAUUGUGGACUGUAAACAUCUAGCUGUCAGGUAAAAUAAUUUUUAGUUUCUAUCGGGCAUACCAAUUGUAAGACCUGCGUCUGUCAAUUUUGCGAUGGAAUACUGAUAUGCUGCAAAUAAAAGAUAACUUAAGAUCUUUAA
Molecule: long non-coding RNA, 1505 nt
Organism: Wasmannia auropunctata (little fire ant)
Lineage: Eukaryota; Metazoa; Arthropoda; Insecta; Hymenoptera; Formicidae
Exons: 6
Source: RefSeq, a predicted model, not a curated record